UUUCUUCACUAUCUUUGAAGGGUUCCGUCGAUAGUUUGAUUUUUGGUAUUUGACCCAUCAAUACUUUGAUUAUUUGGAGGAAAGCGACCGAACAUCCGUUAGUUUUUUAUAAAAUAAUUUAGAAAAAUAUUUUGAUUGUGUGAAAAUUUUUAUUUUGUAGAUUUCAAAAUUAAGGGUAAAGCGUAUUAUCACACAUUUCUGAAAAAUGUGUUUCAAUUUUGAUUGAUGGAUUCUUUAGCAACAAAAUUUUGAGAUUUGAUAAUGUAUUCUUUAAGACUGGGUAAGUGUUUUAAAUUAUAAAUAUCUCUUGGUAUUAUGCUAUGCUAAUGUUGGUCAUGUCGAUAUAUAUUCUGUUAUAGAAGCUAGCUUCGUUUUUGUAUUGCCCCUUCGGGUGCCUGCACCUAUCCACACCUCUGUUAUGUAUUUGCGCUUUCGAGCACCUCUAUUCUGUGUAUGCACCUUCAGGUGCCUCUGUUCUAUUUUGCUCCUUCGGGUGCCUCUGGAUCUAGUAUGGUGUAUAGUUGCUUACCCAGAUUUCGUAAUUGUUUUGUUCGGCGAGGGCAAGGCCAAGUGAACGCUAGCCGUACUUAACUGUUCGAGUUACUUUUUGUUAUUUUUGUCUUUGUGUAGUUAGGUAUAUGUUGGUUAAUAGGUUACUUGAAUUAUCGAGAUUUAUUCAUUUCUAUAUUUUUAUUCUUCGUACCAUGUAAUUUAGCGAAUUUUGUGAUUAUCUUAUUGUCUAUUUCUUUGUUGGGUUCUGUAGUCUUGCAUAUUUGCUAUUCUAGCAAGUGUGCGGCGUUUGUUAUGCCUCAGGUUUGGGGCGUGACAAAAAAAUGGUAUCAAAGCCUAGGUUUAAGGUUCAUAGGAUUUGUAGAAAUUGAGCAAUAGGAUGAUAAGGUUCAUCUUAGACAUGCGAGAACGUGUGAGAGGGGUAGACUUCUGGCUUUCGAAGAUU
RNAcentral lists this long non-coding RNA (955 nucleotides) under Ananas comosus (pineapple). Its description in RNAcentral is "long non-coding RNA (ACOM_LNC016394)". Lineage: Eukaryota; Viridiplantae; Streptophyta; Magnoliopsida; Poales; Bromeliaceae. The record is from RNAcentral.